Molecule: long non-coding RNA, 466 nt
Filed under: Zalophus californianus (California sea lion)
Lineage: Eukaryota; Metazoa; Chordata; Mammalia; Carnivora; Otariidae
Description: lncRNA (ENSZCAG00015016527.1)
Source: RNAcentral
UGCUCCUCACACACAGUUUAGACCUUUGGGUGACAGUCAGCUCUUUAAUCUCUGCAGUGACCACAGUGCAAGGCCAGUCUGUGCAGAGGAGUGUUCCUGCUGUGGACUAGAGGGAGCACUUGAACCAGACUUAGCGUUUCCUAAGCUGCCAGGGGACACAUUCAGAGUUCAACUCUGACACCAGAAGACUCUUUUCUUUCAGGAUUUGCCCCUGAGCUGGAGAAAAGUUGCGCCAAAUAGGCUGUUGUACCAUGGACUCACCUAGAGGGAAGACUGAAAGAUACAUUCUGACAGGAGCAGCGAGUAUCAGGGGUGAAAGAUUCAUUUUCCUGUCUCAUCUGGAAACAAGGAAACUUUAAAACAAAACCCCAAAAUGUAAGUAUUUGAUGACUCUCAUCUUUUCAGUAGCGUCUUCCCAAGGGGACCCAUACUAGACCCACUGGACUUGCCUUUUGCUGCCUUAAUG